Solea solea (common sole) is the source of this 437-nucleotide long non-coding RNA. RefSeq lists it as uncharacterized. The record is from RefSeq and is a predicted model, not a curated record. The transcript is spliced from 3 exons. Lineage: Eukaryota; Metazoa; Chordata; Actinopteri; Pleuronectiformes; Soleidae.
AUUGAUUGGUGACAUACAACACACCUGCUGCUCAUCUUCACGCACACGCGAAAAAAGUGUCGCUGCUUAACUACUGAAACUGUUCCGGGAGGAAGGAACUUGUGGCAGUAAUGCACCAACCGCCAUAAAACCUCAGAAAAGGAGGGAACUUUAAAAAAAAAGAAGAGAGAAAAAAAAGGAAAACUACCGCGCCGUGACGUCAGACGCCGAAAAGGUGCACGCGGCCUCCAGGAUGGCGUGUUCGACCUGGUCCAGGUUGGUGGCCCGUCCAGAAUGGAACAACCUGCUUCCUGCUCACAGAGACCUGGUCAGACCGUCAUAUACAAAAGCCUGAGGCUGUCAAAAAAAGAUUGAUCUUCAUGAAGACUGUCAAAUAGUAGGUGUCAUGAUUUAAUUCUGGGUGGCCGCCGUGUCCCCACUCUUUCUUGGCCGCCGUG